GUUUGAUCAUGGCUCAGAACGAACGCUGGCGGCAGGCCUAAUACAUGCAAGUCGAACGAUCCUUCGGGAUAGUGGCGCACGGGUGAGUAACACGUGGGAACAUACCCUUGGGUGCGGAACAACGUCGGGAAACUGACGCUAAUACCGCAUAAUGACUCCGGUCCAAAGAUUUAUCGCCCAAGGAUUGGCCCGCGCUAGAUUAGGUUGUUGGUGAGGUAACGGCUCACCAAGCCUACGAUCUAUAGCUGGUCUGAGAGGAUGAUCAGCCACACUGGGACUGAGACACGGCCCAGACUCCUACGGGAGGCAGCAGUAAGGAAUAUUGGACAAUGGGGGCAACCCUGAUCCAGCCAUGCCGCGUGAGUGAAGAAGGCCUUAGGGUUGUAAAGCUCUUUCAGGUGCAAAGAUAAUGACUGUAACACCAGAAGAAGCCCCGGCUAAAUUCGUG
This 448-nucleotide ribosomal RNA is filed under the name uncultured bacterium. RNAcentral describes it as "bacterial SSU rRNA". It matches the Rfam family "Bacterial small subunit ribosomal RNA", at positions 11 to 507 of the family's 1533-position model. The record is from RNAcentral.